RNAcentral lists this ribosomal RNA (492 nucleotides) under uncultured bacterium. RNAcentral describes it as "partial 16S ribosomal RNA". It matches the Rfam family "Bacterial small subunit ribosomal RNA", at positions 29 to 507 of the family's 1533-position model. The record is from RNAcentral.
AGUGAACGCUGGCGGUAGGCCUAACACAUGCAAGUCGAACGGCCGCACAGUAAGAGCUUGCUCUUACGGGUGGCGAGUGGCGGACGGGUGAGGAAUACAUCGGAAUCUACUUUUUCGUGGGGGAUAACGUAGGGAAACUUACGCUAAUACCGCAUACGACCUACGGGUGAAAGCAGGGGAUCUUCGGACCUUGCGCGAUUGAAUGAGCCGAUGUCGGAUUAGCUAGUUGGCGGGGUAAAGGCCCACCAAGGCGACGAUCCGUAGCUGGUCUGAGAGGAUGAUCAGCCACACUGGAACUGAGGCACGGUCCAGACUCCUACGGGAGGCAGCAGUGGGGAAUAUUGGACAAUGGGCGCAAGCCUGAUCCAGCCAUACCGCGUGGGUGAAGAAGGCCUUCGGGUUGUAAAGCCCUUUUGUUGGGAAAGAAAAGCAGCAGGUUAAUACCCCGCUGUUCUGACGGUACCCAAAGAAUAAGCACCGGCUAACUUCGUG